GAUGAACGCUGACAGAAUGCUUAACACAUGCAAGUCAACUGUGGCGGACGGGUGAGUAACGCGUAAAGAACUUGCCUCACAGAUAGGGACAACAUUUGGAAACGAGUGCUACUACCUGAUAUUGUGAGAGAGCUUGGCGUCCCAUUAGCUAGUUGGAGAGGUAACGGCUCACCAAGGCGAGGAUGGGUAGCCGGCCUGGGAGGGUGAUCGGCCACAAGGGGACUGGGAAGCGGCCCUUACUGCAACGGGAGGCAGCAGGGGGAAAUAUUGGACAAUGGACCAAAGUCUGAUCCAGCAAUUCUGUGUGAACGAUGAAGUUUUCGGAAUGUAAAGUGAUUUCAGUUGGGAAGCGGUACCAACAGAAGAAGUGACGGCUAAAUACGUGCCAGCAGCCGCGGUAAUUC
This 404-nucleotide ribosomal RNA is filed under the name uncultured bacterium. Its description in RNAcentral is "partial 16S ribosomal RNA". It matches the Rfam family "Bacterial small subunit ribosomal RNA", at positions 28 to 526 of the family's 1533-position model. The record is from RNAcentral.